AGUUACCUGGAAACGCGGACAAAACAAGAACAUCAACUUCGUCAUGUUUUGGUAAAGCUGUAAUAUCACCGAUACAAAGCUGAAUAAAGCAUUUGCCUAUAUCCGUUCCUACUUCCAGCGCAUCAACAACACGAAUUCCUGUCAUAUCCUUAUCACAAGAUUAAAAUAUUAAGAAUAUUUUAUAAGCCAAACGCCACUUGGUGACUUGAGUAUUUUUAAUAUUAAACCAAAG
Non-coding RNA from Paramuricea clavata, 232 nucleotides. The record is from the annotation of a GenBank genome assembly. NCBI's taxonomy places the organism in Eukaryota, Metazoa, Cnidaria, Anthozoa, Malacalcyonacea, Plexauridae.